This 802-nucleotide ribosomal RNA is filed under the name uncultured bacterium. RNAcentral describes it as "bacterial SSU rRNA". It matches the Rfam family "Bacterial small subunit ribosomal RNA", at positions 56 to 878 of the family's 1533-position model. The record is from RNAcentral.
UGCAAGUCGAACGAGAGAAUUGCUAGCUUGCUAAUAAUUCUCUAGUGGCGCACGGGUGAGUAACACGUGAGUAACCUGCCCCCGAGAGCGGGAUAGCCCUGGGAAACUGGGAUUAAUACCGCAUAGUAUCGAAAGAUUAAAGCAGCAAUGCGCUUGGGGAUGGGCUCGCGGCCUAUUAGUUAGUUGGUGAGGUAACGGCUCACCAAGGCGAUGACGGGUAGCCGGUCUGAGAGGAUGUCCGGCCACACUGGAACUGAGACACGGUCCAGACACCUACGGGUGGCAGCAGUCGAGAAUCGUUCACAAUGGGGGAAACCCUGAUGGUGCGACGCCGCGUGGGGGAAUGAAGGUCUUCGGAUUGUAAACCCCUGUCAUGUGGGAGCAAAUUAAAAAGAUAGUACCACAAGAGGAAGAGACGGCUAACUCUGUGCCAGCAGCCGCGGUAAUACAGAGGUCUCAAGCGUUGUUCGGAAUCACUGGGCGUAAAGCGUGCGUAGGCUGUUUCGUAAGUCGUGUGUGAAAGGCGCGGGCUCAACCCGCGGACGGCACAUGAUACUGCGAGACUAGAGUAAUGGAGGGGGAACCGGAAUUCUCGGUGUAGCAGUGAAAUGCGUAGAUAUCGAGAGGAACACCCGUGGCGAAGGCGGGUUCCUGGACAUUAACUGACGCUGAGGCACGAAGGCCAGGGGAGCGAAAGGGAUUAGAUACCCCUGUAGUCCUGGCAGUAAACGGUGCACGCUUGGUGUGCGGGGAAUCGACCCCCUGCGUGCCGGAGCUAACGCGUUAAGCGUGCCGCCUGGGG